GCGACUGGGCGGCGGGUGCCAUGCGCCUGGAGUACAUCCUCUGCCCCCACCCACCGCGCCAGCACUCCCGGGUCACGCCUCGGGGCGCGCGCACCUGCCAAGCAGGAUAAAUAAUCUGAUAUUAUGUGAGAUAAGGAAAUAAGAAGCUUUCUGCUGACUUAAUUGUGACUCAGGGUCCAAAAGGAUGCAAUCCUGUGGCAAGAAGAUUCAAAACUGAACUAUCUUGCAAAAAAAUACAAGAUAUUGAAAGUUUUUAUGAGCACCUACCACCUAAUCCCAAACACUAUCAUUCAUAUGUGCCUCAUUGAGCAAAUCUUUACUGAGGAUCUAUAUGCCAGAUAAUGCAGGCAUUGUUCCUAAGUCAUGCAGAUGGUCGUGUAAGCAUGGUCAUUUGUAUCAUUACACCGCACAUCUGAUAGGGCCGAACUCCAAGCCACCUGGUUUGCUCAAUAUCUUUUGCUUGAGAGCAGAAACAGAAGGUACGUGGUGGACUUCACUGAGGGAUGGAGAUUUUGAAGACAGGAAUGGAUGAAGAACUAA
Molecule: non-coding RNA, 540 nt
Organism: Saimiri boliviensis boliviensis (Bolivian squirrel monkey)
Lineage: Eukaryota; Metazoa; Chordata; Mammalia; Primates; Cebidae
Source: RefSeq, a predicted model, not a curated record